CCACUUUGUGGUUCAUGACUGGGGUGAAGUCGUAACAAGGUAGCGCUAGGGGAACCUGGCGCUGGAUCACCUCCUUAAACGAUGAU
This 86-nucleotide ribosomal RNA is filed under the name Vibrio alginolyticus. Its description in RNAcentral is "partial 16S ribosomal RNA". The stretch from base 1 to 77 matches the Rfam family "Bacterial small subunit ribosomal RNA", at positions 1457 to 1533 of the family's 1533-position model. Lineage: Bacteria; Pseudomonadati; Pseudomonadota; Gammaproteobacteria; Vibrionales; Vibrionaceae. RNAcentral also lists the same sequence under 1 other name. The record is from RNAcentral.